This is a long non-coding RNA of Panicum virgatum (switchgrass), 493 nucleotides long. RefSeq lists it as uncharacterized. Lineage: Eukaryota; Viridiplantae; Streptophyta; Magnoliopsida; Poales; Poaceae. The record is from RefSeq and is a predicted model, not a curated record. The transcript is spliced from 2 exons.
AGGGGGCAAGGGGGGAGAUGAGCCCCCCAACCGUCCAAAACCGGCGAGAGCCUUCUCCUGCACUGCAUGCUGCUACCUGCUGCUCUCCUUCUCAUGACCUCUUCUUGUCCCUCCUCUUCCUCUUCCUCUUCCUCUUCCUCUUCCUCUUCAUCAUCAUGAUCAUGAUGUCAUCUCUGCUUUGGCAAGGUAGGAGACCCCUUUAACAUCUUCAUCUUGAUUGAUGAGUUCGGGGAUGACGGCGGGCGAUGGGAUGCGCAUGUGGGGUGCAAUUGGUCGUGCCUCCUUAUUGGGGUUUUAUCAUCAGGAAACAGGACUGAAGAAUCAAGGGAGGGAUGAUGGAUGGGCUCCUGGUGGCUGGUUUUGUUUCUUGAAAGAGAGACAGGCAUUUCUGCCGACAGACUUCACUUCACUGAAACACAGUGAAUCAACUCUAAUACUACGCAACACUGUGAACAUUCUUGGUAACAGCGAUAAAAUGAAAUACGUUUGCUAA